GCUACACUGGUUGAUUAUUGCAGGAAUGAAAGGCACUCUGACCUUGUCGACCAAACGCCUUGCAGCUUUCAAUGCUGCCCAUUAUCCUGAAGGCAGGCAACUCCUGGAGAGAGGCAGAAUCUGCAGGAGAGCUGCUCCCCGGGCAACCUGCCAGAAAAGGCUUCAUCAGCCGCAGUUCAGACGUGGCCAAACAGCUCAGGCAGCAAAGGAAACAGCUGGGGGGUGGGGGGGGUGGAAACAGAGUAUAUAAAAAUAUUGUUAGCCCGCAGUCUAAAGAGCUCUGGGGCAUCUGUGCCUUAGAAAAAGCCUUUGCUCACGUUGCCCCGCGUGGUCUUCGGCGGGGAACUGAGGAUCCACGUGGGAAGUUCUGCUGAGGAAGGAAGCCGUCACCGAAGUUCCAUGGCCAGUAUGGAGCCCAGUGCAGGGCUUGAACUCAGGACCCGGAGGCAAGACCUGAGCUGGUACUCCGAGUCUGUCGCUUCACCGACUGAGCCAGGCAGAGACACACACACAGCGAGAGAAGGAACACAAGCAGAGGGAGUAGGAGAGGGAGAAGCAGGCCGCCAGCCGAGCAGGGAGCUCAACUCCGGUCUCGAUCCCAGGAUCCCGGGAUCAUGGCCUGAACUGAAGGCAGACGCUUAACAACUGAGCCACCCAGACACCCCAGAGAAAGACUGACUGGCCAUCCUAUUCUGGCUAUUUGUAUGUAUUUGUCGGUUAAUAAAUUGGAGGCAAUCUAAUUCAACCAUCAGUCAAUAAGCAUCAGCUGUUUUCGAGGGGGGGUGGAAAUAAUCAACAAUGCAGAGGUCUUGUCCUUUAAAAAAAAAAAAAAAAGUUCCUCAGAGAGUUAAAAAGCUGUGAUUCAGAGAAAUGCUCCAGUUAAUGAUUAGAGUAACGGGGUGUCUGCUGCUGGUAAGGGAGCCAUCAGAGGAACAUAGAUAGAAAUAUCUGCUGAACUGAAGGAGUAGAGGUAACUGAUGCCCUAGCCUGUGCUGUCUUUAGGCGUUAAGUAACAAAAAUUCCACUGGGUCAAUCCUGAAGAUCUAAUUGGCUUCAUUAAUCAAUUCGUGACUCAAGCGGCAUCUCAUCUUGUGAAGAGAGGGGAGCUGCAAAGAGCUGCCUCAAAGAAAAGGUUUCCAAAGGUAGAGAGGGAGUGGGAAAAAAGGAAAUGAGUAGCAAAGAAUCCAUUGUUUUAGGCGAGAUUGCCCUCCUAAGAGGAAUGGGAGGGGUCUAUUAAUAAAUUUCCCAGUGCGGACCAGGAAACUCCCAUGUUGGCUGGCUAAAGGUCACAUUCCUGGGGAUUGAAA
This is a long non-coding RNA of Mustela lutreola (European mink), 1307 nucleotides long. RefSeq lists it as uncharacterized. The transcript has 3 exons. The record is from RefSeq and is a predicted model, not a curated record. NCBI's taxonomy places the organism in Eukaryota, Metazoa, Chordata, Mammalia, Carnivora, Mustelidae.